Molecule: small nucleolar RNA, 138 nt
Filed under: Ornithorhynchus anatinus (platypus)
Lineage: Eukaryota; Metazoa; Chordata; Mammalia; Monotremata; Ornithorhynchidae
Source: RNAcentral
GUCCUCUCAGGGUUGCUUCUGGAGAGUUUCCAGGACUCUACCGAUCUCGACUUCAGGAGGGAGAGUCAAGCAGAGGCCUACCCAUUCCAUUCCUAGCUUGGGCAGUGGCUAGCGAGUGGAAGGCAAUCUGCUACAAGU